GGUGAUCUACGCCACACAGGUGAAGGUGAUCGUCGUCGAAGGGGCAGAGGUGAUCUUCUACGUCGAAGGGGUGAAGGAGAUCUACGUCGGCGGAUAGGUGAGGGUGAUCUACGACGUUGGAUGGGUGAGGGUGAUCUACGGCGUCGAAUGGGUGAGGGAGAUCUACGGCGCCGAAUAGGUGAGGGAGAUCUACGUCGACUAAGUGAGGGAGACCUACGCCGGAUUGGUGAAGGAGAUCUGCGUCUAAAUGGAGAGUGCAAUCUACGUCGUACUGGAGAAGGUGACAUGUGGCGUGAAGAUGAUCUUGAUCUUGGCCUAGAAUACCUU
This 327-nucleotide long non-coding RNA is filed under the name Manihot esculenta (cassava). RNAcentral describes it as "long non-coding RNA (MESC_LNC000571)". Lineage: Eukaryota; Viridiplantae; Streptophyta; Magnoliopsida; Malpighiales; Euphorbiaceae. The record is from RNAcentral.